RNAcentral lists this ribosomal RNA (543 nucleotides) under uncultured bacterium. Its description in RNAcentral is "bacterial SSU rRNA". It matches the Rfam family "Bacterial small subunit ribosomal RNA", at positions 8 to 521 of the family's 1533-position model. The record is from RNAcentral.
AGAGUUUGAUCCUGGCUCAGAAUGAACGCUGGCGGCGUGCUUGACACAUGCAAGUCGAACGAGAAAGCCGAAAGCUUGCUUUUGGCGAGUAAAGUGGCGCACGGGUGAGUAACGCGUGGGUAAUCUACCUUUGAAUUUGGGAUAACACUUCGAAAGGAGUGCUAAUACCGGAUAAUAUCUUUUUCAUUGCGGUGGGAAAGAUCAAAGAUGGCCUCUUCUUGAAAGCUAUUGUUUGAAGAUGAGCCCGCGUACCAUUAGCUUGUUGGUGGGGUAAUGGCCUACCAAGGCGACGAUGGUUAGCUGGUCUGAGAGGAUGAUCAGCCACACUGGAACUGGAACACGGUCCAGACUCCUACGGGAGGCAGCAGUGAGGAAUUUUGCGCAAUGGGGGAAACCCUGACGCAGCAACGCCGCGUGAGUGAUGAAGGCUUUCGGGUCGUAAAGCUCUGUCAAGUGGGAAGAAGUUGUGUAUGGCUAAUAUCUGUGCACAUUGACGGUACCACUGAAGGAAGCACCGGCUAACUCCGUGCCAGCCGCCGCGGU